Molecule: long non-coding RNA, 1804 nt
Organism: Symphalangus syndactylus (siamang)
Lineage: Eukaryota; Metazoa; Chordata; Mammalia; Primates; Hylobatidae
Source: RefSeq, a predicted model, not a curated record
GGUUACGUCCUCAGCGAUUGGCCAGGACGGAGGGGUGCGUCCUCUAGGCACCUUUCUGAAUUCCGUUUUGCGUGUGCAAAAUUUAGAUAACGGGUAUUCCGCCGGCUGGGGAGCAUGGUGUGAUCAUGGCUCACUGCAACCUCGAACUCCUGGCCUCAAGCAAUCCUCCCACCUCAGCCUCCUGAGUUGUUGAGACUACAGGCGCACGCCACUGCACCCAGGUAAUUUUUUUUUUGUAGAGACGAGGUCUCGCUUUGUUGCCCAGGCUGUUCUCAAAUUCCUGGCCUCAAGAGAUCUGCCUGCCUCCGGCUUCCAAAGUGCUGAGAUUACAGGGGUGAGUCAGCAUGCCUGGCAGUUCUAAAAUUUUUCAAACACUACCUCCAGAAUUCACUGAUGUGCCAUUGCCCCUGUAUAUAAAACGUGAAGUGCAGCACACAAACAUUUUCUAAUAUAAGGUGUUCUUUUUUCAUGUCAAGAUGUGUAAAAAGUGGUCUCGGACUUGUUCCCAGUUGUUACCCCAAAAUUAUAGAAGACUAAACCAAAAUAGAAUGCCUUGUUGAUUUUAAAUAGGGGAUAGUUCUCAAAAAUUCAGUUAAUUCCUGAUAUUCUGGAAUGGCUCUAUAUAAAUAUCAAUGAUAGUAAAGACUUAAACUCAUCACAUAUUUUGCACUCUCUUAGUAGUCAAAAUCCUAGACACUGAAUUUUUUCUAGCAGGGUCAUAGCUUUGUACCUUUACUACCACUUGCUAUUAGUGUUUAGUUGUUGAAGCUAGAGACCUGACAUAGAUAAUGAAUUUCUCUUUUUAGCCUCAUAGACAGUUUCUUUUCUACAUUAAUGAACUUCAAGUCACAAUGUCGUAGUCUCCUCUCAAAGUUUUUCCCAUUUACAAUGAACCAGUUCUGCAUCUGAACCAUAACAACUAAUUUCCACUCUUCUGGACAUUUUAAACUCAUUUAACGUGUUAAAAGAAGAAGCAUCCUAAGAAAGUUAUAUAUUCUCCACCCAGAUAUAAGGAAAGAAAACACAAUAGUGGGGAGAAAAUUAAACCUUAUUUAUUUUUAAAACCAAACCACUAGGAAAAUAUAUCACAGCCUGGAAACAGCAAAUGGACAGGCUAUAUUAUAAUUUCAAGUAAUAAGUUGGUGAAAAUACAACGAAGUUGCUAUCAAAACAAUAAGGUGCCAUGCUGGGGCAGGAACACUGCUAGCUGCACAAGCCCCAGGCAAAAAUGGUAUUUGGUAAUGGGGGCUGCCUCUCCUUUGCUCUAAGGGAGUCAGCUCAUCCUAGCCCAAGUUGCUUACUUUUUCUCCCUUGAAUUUCCUGUUGCCAGGGGUUUGUCUCAAUUGGGCUCUGUUAAUUCAGGGGGCUAAGUAGGCAAUGCUAGGUGUAGGCUUUCAUUCCAUCUGUUCUAAUAAAACCAGGUUUUUCCAAAUCCAGUGCUUCUUUACUCUGUUGUCAUCAAGUAGCCAACUGCUCCUCUUUUACUGUUCAUUCCUAGAUACUAGUAUAUAGCACAGUCAAAACCCCCUUCUCUUCAAGGGGAAAGUGUUACUGCAAGAUUGUCCUGUCAUUUUGCUACACACAGCCUCAGGGCCCAUCAGCCAGUAAUUCUGCUUCCCACAAUUAGUGUGUCGUCACCUCUCAUGUUUCUGCAUGGUCUCCAGGCUGAAAGAUGCAGCAUGUAAUAAUUUUAAGAAAUGUACAUCCACAUCUUGAUGACCAGAAAUGGGGAUCCACAAGGAACAUUUCAAAGUUGUUAUCCAAACUAGUCUGCCUCCCAGUUCCACAUCUUAAAAUCAACUUG